UAUUUUGUAUAUUAUGUUAUUUUUUUGUUUAUUAAGAUUUUUAAUAGAAAUAAUUUUAUCUUUUUUUGUCUAAGUAUAUUUUGUAGAAUUGAUUUUUUAUAUUAUAGUUUAUUAGUAAUGUAAUUGGAUUAUGAAAUAUUAUAUAAGUUUUGAAAAGUAAAUUUUAUUUAUUGUACCUUUUGUAUCAGGGUUUAUUAAAUUUUUAGUAUUUAUUUACUAUUCUCGAUUUAGUUUGAUUUACAAUCAAUUUUUAUUUAAUGUUUCAUAAUUAUUAAAGAGUUGAUUGUGGAAAUGAAAUGUUAUUCGUUUACUAAAAUAUCUAGUUUCUUGAGAAAAAGUUUAAUUUUUUAUAGUUUAUUUGUUUAUAUUUAAUUUUUUAAUUAUAAAUAUUAACUUAUUUAUUUUUUAGGGGAUAAGCUCUAAGAAUUAAAUCCUAUAAUUUAUUAAUUUAAAAUAAAAUAGUAAGCUUUAAAUCAGCUAUCUUUAAGAUUACGUUUUAGUUCAUUAUUAUUUAAUUUGAUUUUAUAAUUAUUUUAGGUUUUAUAUUGAGAUGUAAAAUUUAAUUUUGAAAUUUUUGUAAUAAUGAUAGAAUUAGUAUAUUUAUUUUGUUUAUAGUAGUUAAUUUUGUUAAUUUAUUAUAAGGAAUUAGGCAAAGUUUAUAUUUCCGCCUGUUUAUCAAAAACAUGGCCUCUUGAUUAUAUUUUGAGGUCUGACCUGCUCACUGACAAGUUUUUAAAGAGCCGCGGUAUUUUGACCGUGCAAAGGUAGCAUAAUCAUUAGUCUCUUAAUUAGAGGCUGGAAUGAAUGGUUUGACGAGAAGUUAACUGUCUCUUAAUAAUAUAUAAAAUUUAACUUUUAAGUUAAAAGGCUUAAAUUUUUCUUUAAGACGAGAAGACCCUAUAGAGCUUUACAUUUUACUUUUAUAUAAUUUUUAGAUUAUCUUUUUAUAUUUAAUAAUAAUGUUUUGUUGGGGUGACAUAAAGAAUAGAUAAACUCUUUAUUAUUAAAUCAUUGAUUUAUGUUUAUUUUGAUCCAUAAUUUAUGAUCAUAAGAUUAAGUUACCUUAGGGAUAACAGCGUAAUUGUUUUUGAGAGUUCAUAUCGACAAAGCAGAUUGCGACCUCGAUGUUGGAUUAAGAUAAAUUCUAGGUGUAGGAGUCUAGAAAUUAGGUCUGUUCGACCUUUAAAUUCUUACAUGAUCUGAGUUCAGACCGGCGUGAGCCAGGUCGGUUUCUAUCUUAAGAAAUAUUGUUUAUAUUAGUACGAAAGGACCAUAUGAACGAAAUACUUUUUUAUUAUUGAUUUAAAUUAAUUAUU
RNAcentral lists this ribosomal RNA (1316 nucleotides) under Traulia lofaoshana. Its description in RNAcentral is "16S ribosomal RNA". The stretch from base 877 to 1245 matches the Rfam family "Archaeal large subunit ribosomal RNA", at positions 2147 to 2719 of the family's 2987-position model. The record is from RNAcentral. Lineage: Eukaryota; Metazoa; Arthropoda; Insecta; Orthoptera; Acrididae.